This is a non-coding RNA of Equus quagga, 414 nucleotides long. Lineage: Eukaryota; Metazoa; Chordata; Mammalia; Perissodactyla; Equidae. The record is from the annotation of a RefSeq genome assembly.
AUGAGGUUGGUGACUGGAGUAACUGUUUUUCUUACCUUGGGGACUGUGACUGAUGCUAAGACCAUUCAGCCCAACUCCAUGGAUUGUGCUGAAGGAGAAGAUGCAAACUUACCUUGUAACCAUUCUACCAUCAGUGGAGAUGAUUAUAUACAUUGGUAUCGGCAAAAUCCCAACAAGAGUCCACAGUAUAUAAUUCACAGCUUACGAGACAAUGUGACCAACAACAUGGCCUCUCUGACCAUCGCAACAGACAGAAAGUCCAGCAUCUUGACCCUGCCCCAGGUCACUCUGAGAGACACUGCUGUGUACUACUGCAUCGUGAGAGAGGCACAUUGGGACAGAUGGGGCUGCACCUGUGCAAUAUCUCUCUGGAGAUGGGGUGAUGGGAGGCAGCAGCCAUCAGAGCAAAUCUAA